GGGCCGUUAGCUCAACUGGUAGAGCAGCAGACUCCAGGCCCGGUAACGGGGUUCGAGUCCCUGACGGCUCACCA
This 74-nucleotide transfer RNA is filed under the name Acidobacteriota bacterium. Its description in RNAcentral is "tRNA-Trp". It matches the Rfam family "tRNA". Rfam says of the family: Transfer RNA (tRNA) molecules are approximately 80 nucleotides in length. Their secondary structure includes four short double-helical elements and three loops (D, anti-codon, and T loops). Further hydrogen bonds mediate the characteristic L-shaped molecular structure. tRNAs have two regions of fundamental functional importance: the anti-codon, which is responsible for specific mRNA codon recognition, and the 3' end, to which the tRNAs corresponding amino acid is attached (by aminoacyl-tRNA synthetases). tRNAs cope with the degeneracy of the genetic code in two manners: having more than one tRNA (with a specific anti-codon) for a particular amino acid; and 'wobble' base-pairing, i.e. permitting non-standard base-pairing at the 3rd anti-codon position. Lineage: Bacteria; Pseudomonadati; Acidobacteriota. The record is from RNAcentral.